RNAcentral lists this ribosomal RNA (497 nucleotides) under uncultured bacterium. RNAcentral describes it as "partial 16S ribosomal RNA". It matches the Rfam family "Bacterial small subunit ribosomal RNA", at positions 28 to 507 of the family's 1533-position model. The record is from RNAcentral.
GAUGAACGCUGGCGGCGUGCCUAAUACAUGCAAGUCGAGCGAACGGACGAGAAGCUUGCUUCUCUGAUGUUAGCGGCGGACGGGUGAGUAACACGUGGAUAACCUACCUAUAAGACUGGGAUAACUUCGGGAAACCGGAGCUAAUACCGGAUGAUAUUUUGAACCGCAUGGUUCAAAAGUGAAAGACGGUCUUGCUGUCACUUAUAGAUGGAUCCGCGCUGCAUUAGCUAGUUGGUAAGGUAAUGGCUUACCAAGGCAACGAUGCAUAGCCGACCUGAGAGGGUGAUCGGCCACACUGGAACUGAGACACGGUCCAGACUCCUACGGGAGGCAGCAGUAGGGAAUCUUCCGCAAUGGGCGAAAGCCUGACGGAGCAACGCCGCGUGAGUGAUGAAGGUCUUCGGAUCGUAAAACUCUGUUAUUAGGGAAGAACAUAUGUGUAAGUAACCGUGCACAUCUUGACGGUACCUAAUCAGAAAGCCACGGCUAACUACGUG